GUACUUGCUUUGUCAGUACAUAUGCUAAAAUUGGAACGAUACAGAGAAGAUUAGUAUGGCCCCUGAGCAAGGAUGACCAAUAAAUUUCACAAUACCCUAUAAAUAUGC
Small nuclear RNA from Stegodyphus dumicola, 108 nucleotides. The record is from RefSeq and is a predicted model, not a curated record. Lineage: Eukaryota; Metazoa; Arthropoda; Arachnida; Araneae; Eresidae.